CAGUCGAACGGCAGCACGGGUGCUUGCACCUGGUGGCGAGUGGCGAACGGGUGAGUAAUACAUCGGAACGUACCUUAUCGUGGGGGAUAACGCAGCGAAAGCUGUGCUAAUACCGCAUACGCCCUGAGGGGGAAAGCGGGGGAUCGAAAGACCUCGCGCGAUUAGAGCGGCCGAUGCCUGAUUAGCUUGUUGGUGGGGUAAAAGCCCACCAAGGCGACGAUCAGUAGCUGGUCUGAGAGGACGAUCAGCCACACUGGGACUGAGACACGGCCCAGACUCCUACGGGAGGCAGCAGUGGGGAAUUUUGGACAAUGGGGGAAACCCUGAUCCAGCAAUGCCGCGUGAGUGAAGAAGGCCUUCGGGUUGUAAAGCUCUUUUGUCAGGGAAGAAACACCGGCUCUAACACAGUCCGGGAAUGACGGUACCUGAAGAAUAAGCACCGGCUAACUACGUGCCAGCAGCCGCGGUAAUACGUAGGGUGCGAGCGUUAAUCGGAAUUACUGGGCGUAAAGCGUGCGCAGGCGGUUAUACAAGACAGGCGUGAAAUCCCCGGGCUUAACCUGGGAAUGGCGCCUGUGACUGUAUAGCUAGAGUGUGUCAGAGGGGGGUAGAAUUCCACGUGUAGCAGUGAAAUGCGUAGAUGUGUGGAGGAAUACCAAUGGCGAAGGCAGCCCCCUGGGAUAACACUGACGCUCAUGCACGAAAGCGUGGGGAGCAAACAGGAUUAGAUACCCUGUAGUCCACGCCCUAAACGAUGCUGACUAGUUGUUCGGGAUUUACAUCCUGAGUAACGUAGCUACGCGUGAAGUCAGCCGCCUGGGGAGUACGGUCGCAAGAUUAAAACUCAAAGGAAUUGACGG
Molecule: ribosomal RNA, 860 nt
Filed under: uncultured bacterium
Lineage: Bacteria
Description: bacterial SSU rRNA
Rfam family: Bacterial small subunit ribosomal RNA
Source: RNAcentral